UCUGAUAUGGCAGAAUAGUGCGAUGAAUUUAAGCUUCAUAUAUAAAGAUUACUUUUAUUAGAA
This 63-nucleotide transfer RNA is filed under the name Orohermes crepusculus. RNAcentral describes it as "tRNA-Leu". The record is from RNAcentral. Lineage: Eukaryota; Metazoa; Arthropoda; Insecta; Megaloptera; Corydalidae.